RNAcentral lists this ribosomal RNA (417 nucleotides) under uncultured bacterium. Its description in RNAcentral is "bacterial SSU rRNA". It matches the Rfam family "Bacterial small subunit ribosomal RNA", at positions 1 to 416 of the family's 1533-position model. The record is from RNAcentral.
GAAGUUUAUUUACGGAGAGUUUGAUCCUGGCUCAGGAUGAACGCUGGCGGCGUGCUUAACACAUGCAAGUCGAACGUGAGAAUAGCAAUAUUUGAAAGUGGCAAACGGGUGAGUAACACGUGGGAACCUGCCUCGAAGUGGGGGAUAACGAUUGGAAACGGUCGCUAAUACCGCACGGUUCUGCUCUGAUGGGAAUGGAGCAGAUAAAGAUUUAUCGCGUUUGAGAGGGGCCCGCGGCCGAUUAGCUAGUUGGUAAGGUAAAGGCCUACCAAGCCUGCGAUCGGUAACUGGUCUGAGAGGACGACCAGUCACACUGGGACUGAGACACGGCCCAGACUCCUACGGGAGGCAGCAGUGGGGAAUUUUGGACAAUGGGCGCAAGCCUGAUCCAGCAAUGCCGCGUGUGUGAAGAAGGCC